CGUCUUUUGAGUAAAAAUUUUAUAAAAGAUAUAGCCUGCCCAAUGCGAUAAAUUUAGGUUAAAUGGCCGCGGUAUUUUGACCGUGCGAAGGUAGCAUAAUCAUUAGUCUAUUAAUUGUAGACUGGUAUGAAUGGCUGGAUGGAUAAUAGCUGUUUUUGUGUUAAUAUUGAAUUUUAGGUUUUUGUGAAGACGCUAAAAUGAAGCUAAAAGACGAGAAGACCCUAUUAAGCUUUACAUUACUUUGUUUUAGAAUGGAGGUAAAUAAUUAAUGUUAUGUUGGGGCGACAGGAAAAUAGUAAAACUUUUUCUAAGGGUGAUAUUGAUGAGUAUAAUGAGAAAAAUGAUCCGCAAAUUGCGAGUAUGAGAAUAAGUUACUUUAGGGAUAACAGCGUAAUUUUACUGGAGAGUUCAUAUUGAUAGUAAAGAUUGCGACCUCGAUGUUGAAUUAGGAUACCUUUAGGGUGCAGCUGUCUUAGAAGGUGGUCUGUUCGACCAUUAAAUUCCUACA
Molecule: ribosomal RNA, 508 nt
Filed under: Paralamyctes grayi
Lineage: Eukaryota; Metazoa; Arthropoda; Chilopoda; Lithobiomorpha; Henicopidae
Description: partial 16S ribosomal RNA
Rfam family: Bacterial large subunit ribosomal RNA
Source: RNAcentral